RNAcentral lists this ribosomal RNA (373 nucleotides) under uncultured bacterium. RNAcentral's name for it is "bacterial SSU rRNA". It matches the Rfam family "Bacterial small subunit ribosomal RNA", at positions 527 to 898 of the family's 1533-position model. The record is from RNAcentral.
GUAGGGCGCAAGCGUUGUCCGGAAUUAUUGGGCGUAAAGAGCUCGUAGGCGGUCUGUCGCGUCGGUUGUGAAAGCCCACAGCUUAACUGUGGGUCUGCAUCCGAUACGGGCAGACUAGAGGCAGGUAGGGGAGCAUGGAAUUCCCGGUGUAGCGGUGAAAUGCGCAGAUAUCGGGAGGAACACCGGUGGCGAAGGCGGUGCUCUGGGCCUGUACUGACGCUGAGGAGCGAAAGCGUGGGGAGCGAACAGGAUUAGAUACCCUGGUAGUCCACGCCGUAAACGUUGGGCGCUAGGUGUGGGGUCCUUCCACGGAUUCCGCGCCGUAGCUAACGCAUUAAGCGCCCCGCCUGGGGAGUACGGCCGCAAGGCUAAA